GCCUAGACUAAGCCAACAGUGAAGGCUUUUAGGUCCCUUCUGAGUGAGACAGUGAGAAAGAACUUCUGGGGUUACUAUUUGUAACUAUUUUUGAGCUUGCAUAAAAAGGAAUCUGCAGUUCCUGGAACUCUUUGAUACUUUCCUAAACUAAAAAUCUUGAUUAAAGUUACCUUAAUCCCAGCGUUUGGAAGCAGGAGGACCCAAGAGUUCAAGGUCACGCUGUUACACAGUGAAUCCCAGGCCAGGCAGUUCGACAUGAGAACUUGCCUCAACCAACAAACAAAAUCAAAUCAAAUAAAAUAAGUUUUAAAGUUACCGCAAAAAGUAACCAAAGGAAGUUUAGACCGAGGGAUGAAAGUGGGUGGAGGCGUGGAGAUUACAAGGGUUGUGAGGGCAGCUGUGGGGGAUACCCCGGGAUUCAAGGGCAUCUCCUGUGGAUGAGGUGUAGUCCCGGAGUCUGGCUGCCUACAUCCAAGGCUGUAAGAUGCUGCCCGUGAGAGCCUCGCAGAAGCUGGGGCUGGGGUGGGACUGGAAAGCCGGAGAGAUUUAAAGCUUGGACCAUGACCCGGAAGUUCAAGUUCAGUGACCAGAAGCAGGUUCUUAGGGUGAACCGGGAAGUUCAUUUGGGCCCUGUGACAUGUAGUGCGGAUCUUAAGAAACCAAGUGUUAAGUGUUCAUGCUUCUUUCCUUUCGAAGCUGUAGGAGUAGGGGUGACAUGCGCCGCAGUGGAUCCAACUUUCUGGAGAAGGGACAAGUUGCAGCGCUCCCAAUGUGAUCGACUUUAGAGUUUUUGGAAAGACUUCUUGCUAAGAUGGCAGCUUGAGUAACGACCAGAGGAGUAGAAGCAACUAAUUUGAGCCAUCAAAUGCACAGCUAGUAAACAAGUCUGCUGCCUGCCUGACAGCCUGAGUUGGAUUCCCAGCAACCCGCAUGGCAGGAAGGAGAGGUCUGACUUCGCUGAGGUGUCUUCUCACUCCCACACGUGUUUUGGCACACACACGUGCAUACGUAGUACCCCUACCGUAAGUAAAAGAAGUGUAAUUUAAAACAUUUUAAAGAUGUCUUCU
Molecule: long non-coding RNA, 1067 nt
Filed under: Rattus norvegicus (Norway rat)
Lineage: Eukaryota; Metazoa; Chordata; Mammalia; Rodentia; Muridae
Description: long non-coding RNA NONRATT033782
Source: RNAcentral